AUUGAACGCUGGCGGCAUGAUUUACACAUGCAAGUCGAACGGUAACAGGCCGCAAGGUGCUGACGAGUGGCGAACGGGUGAGUAAUGCAUCGGAACGUGCCCAGUCGUGGGGGAUAACUACUCGAAAGAGUAGCUAAUACCGCAUACGAUCUAUGGAUGAAAGCGGGGGACCGUAAGGCCUCGCGCGAUUGGAGCGGCCGAUGUCAGAUUAGGUAGUUGGUGGGGUAAAGGCUCACCAAGCCAACGAUCUGUAGCUGGUCUGAGAGGACGACCAGCCACACUGGGACUGAGACACGGCCCAGACUCCUACGGGAGGCAGCAGUGGGGAAUUUUGGACAAUGGGCGCAAGCCUGAUCCAGCAAUGCCGCGUGCAGGAAGAAGGCCUUCGGGUUGUAAACUGCUUUUGUACGGAACGAAACGGCUCUGGUUAAUACCCGGGGCUAAUGACGGUACCGUAAGAAUAGGCACCGGCUAACUACGUG
RNAcentral lists this ribosomal RNA (482 nucleotides) under uncultured bacterium. RNAcentral's name for it is "partial 16S ribosomal RNA". It matches the Rfam family "Bacterial small subunit ribosomal RNA", at positions 30 to 507 of the family's 1533-position model. The record is from RNAcentral.